GGAGAAAUGGCUGAGUGGUCGAAAGCGCCUUCCUGCUAAGAAGGUGAUCUCAUAAAAGGGGUCCGAGGGUUCGAAUCCCUCUUUCUCCGCCA
RNAcentral lists this transfer RNA (92 nucleotides) under Puniceicoccales bacterium. Its description in RNAcentral is "tRNA-Ser". It matches the Rfam family "tRNA". From Rfam's summary of the family: Transfer RNA (tRNA) molecules are approximately 80 nucleotides in length. The record is from RNAcentral. Lineage: Bacteria; Pseudomonadati; Verrucomicrobiota; Opitutia; Puniceicoccales.